Molecule: long non-coding RNA, 1371 nt
Filed under: Cottoperca gobio
Lineage: Eukaryota; Metazoa; Chordata; Actinopteri; Perciformes; Bovichtidae
Description: lncRNA (ENSCGOG00000023919.1)
Source: RNAcentral
CCGGACCGGACAAAACCAGAAAUCAACCAAAUUUGUUAUUUUUUUAUUUCUGCUAAAUAUUAAAGUUGAUCUUUUCUUUACUGUUCUCAGGCAAGUGAAGGUGGCCUUACCUGCACCUACAAUGACCUUUGCCCCAUGACACCUGACCACAGUGUCAAAGAAGUGAAUCUCCAAGGCCAGCUGGGUGCCUGUCUCUCCCCCAGUGAGGAGCCUUCUGCUAGGCAGUGUGUGGAGGAGCAGCAGUGCUACGUGGAGAGUUUGCGACAGGAGAUUCAGGCUGAACAAAGAAGGGCUGAGAGAGAGCUGGAGAGGGAGCAGGCUCACCUCCGACAGCAGCACAGUGAGAGUAAGUGAACUUUCCACACAACUUAACUUUUCAAAAUCCAAGCGAAAACUCUAGGGUCUUAUUGUAACUACGUAGAUGGAUUAGGUAUAUUGGUAAAUGUUGUGCAGGUGUAAGAGAUCCGCCACUUAUGAUUCCCUUCUGUAAAUCUUCACCCAACAGUCCAGCAGUGGAUUUUGCAGGAGAAACGGCGCCUAACAACUGUAGAGCAGAGAAUCACCCAAGAAUCCGGACUUCAGGCAGACCUUAUAUCCCGCACUCCUCCUGGAGCGAGAGGCAAGUCCGGCGUCCGACUUUCAGGAAGGUCAGACAGUAGAUCGUCUGUCCCACGUCGUAAGGGCCAGGAAGAAGGCGGUGCAGGAGGAGCUACUAAAGCAUCACGCCCUUUGCCGUUCCGAUAGCCGCAUCCGCCGGAAAAAGUUGCACUACCAGCUGGAGAGAAUCGCCCGCAAGCGGCAUCUUUUGGAAGCAAAGAGGGAGUUGCAGCGGCUGGAAAGAGCCCUGCCUCCGGGACCUGACAGCCCAGAGACCCCUGAGCUGGGGUCCCCCACAAAGCUCAGGGGAAGACCGUUUGGUUCUCGUAGACACUCCUUCUCAGCAGAUCUUCUGUCCCGGCUCUACCCACAGAACACCCCUAUCUUCAGACACUUCCUAAAGAGAAACCGAUCCAUAGAACGGACGUCAAAUUCCCCCACAACCUUUGAUUCCAUUGGCAGUAGGGAGUGGGUUUCGGAUGAGUGUCUUCCUCGGGAAAGAACCCAGAGUUGUUCCGGUAAGCUCUUCUCAGGACAAAGUCAAGCCUGCCGGAGUAGAGUUGGCUCCUCUGAAAACCUCACACUAACUGCCAAAGAGGAGCCCCAAGCUCAGCGCUGUAGGGAACGACCGGAAAGAAAACCUCUGCUUCCAAACCGAGAUCCUGACAUUUAAGAACAGAUCGGAUCAGAACUCCGUGGUUAAUCUUAAGUCGCCACUUGGAACUACUUUGCAGCCAGUCAGCAAAGAAAAUAUACACGGACGCACAGCACGCA